RNAcentral lists this microRNA precursor (96 nucleotides) under Bigelowiella natans CCMP2755. Its description in RNAcentral is "miRNA EPrBNAG00000013309". The record is from RNAcentral. Lineage: Eukaryota; Cercozoa; Chlorarachniophyceae.
UGAUGAUGAUGAUGAUUAUGAUGAUGAUUAUGAUGAUGAUUAUGAUGAUCAUGAUGAUUAUGAUGAUCAUGAUGAUGAUCAUGAUGAUCCUUUCUC